RNAcentral lists this unclassified non-coding RNA (273 nucleotides) under Hevea brasiliensis (rubber tree). The record is from RNAcentral. Lineage: Eukaryota; Viridiplantae; Streptophyta; Magnoliopsida; Malpighiales; Euphorbiaceae.
AUUUUUUUGUGGUGCCUGUAUUCCCAAAAAGGGUUUCUCUAACAACACACUGCAACACAGAACGAAGGAAAGAUAGAUUUACAAUCCACACACAGCCCUCAACAAAGCUCUCCUCCCAGAGGGAUAAUAUUACUGUACCUCCUUAGCUUCAUAUCCCACAGACUACAUAAGCUUCACUAUCAUCUCUUUAAUCUUUUACUCUCUCCCUCCCUCCGUUUUUUCUAUCUUCUUCGAUCUCGCCUCCUAUCUUCUGCUAUGGAUCCAUUUGAUUUG